This 609-nucleotide ribosomal RNA is filed under the name Lodderomyces elongisporus. Its description in RNAcentral is "eukaryotic LSU rRNA". It matches the Rfam family "Eukaryotic large subunit ribosomal RNA", at positions 65 to 664 of the family's 3401-position model. The record is from RNAcentral. Lineage: Eukaryota; Fungi; Ascomycota; Pichiomycetes; Serinales; Debaryomycetaceae.
CCAACAGGGAUUGCCUUAGUAGCGGCGAGUGAAGCGGCAAUAGCUCAAAUUUGAAAUCUGGCACUUUCAGUGUCCGAGUUGUAAUUUGAAGAAGGUAUCUUUGGGUCUAGCUCUUGUCUAUGUUUCUUGGAACAGAACGUCACAGAGGGUGAGAAUCCCGUGCGAUGAGAUGUCUAGAUCUAUGUAAAGUUCCUUCGAAGAGUCGAGUUGUUUGGGAAUGCAGCUCUAAGUGGGUGGUAAAUUCCAUCUAAAGCUAAAUAUUGGCGAGAGACCGAUAGCGAACAAGUACAGUGAUGGAAAGAUGAAAAGAACUUUGAAAAGAGAGUGAAAAAGUACGUGAAAUUGUUGAAAGGGAAGGGCUUGAGAUCAGACUUGGUAUUUUGUAUGUUACUCUCUCGGGGGUGGCCUCUACAGUUUACCGGGCCAGCAUCAGUUUGAGCGGUAGGAGAAUUGCGUAGGAAUGUGGCUCGGCCUCGGUCGAGUGUUAUAGCCUUCGUCGAUACUGCCAGCUUAGACUGAGGACUGCGGCUUCGGCCUAGGAUGUUGGCAUAAUGAUCUUAAGUCGCCCGUCUUGAAACACGGACCUCCUGUGUGAGGGGUCCCCCCCUA